RNAcentral lists this transfer RNA (72 nucleotides) under Ovis aries (sheep). It matches the Rfam family "tRNA". From Rfam's summary of the family: Transfer RNA (tRNA) molecules are approximately 80 nucleotides in length. Lineage: Eukaryota; Metazoa; Chordata; Mammalia; Artiodactyla; Bovidae. The record is from Rfam by way of RNAcentral.
UCCCUGGUGGUCUAGUUGUUAGGACUCCUGGCUUCCACUUAGGGGUCAUGGGUUUGAUUCCUGGUUGGGGAA